GUUGUGAGGUUAAGCGACUAAGCGUACACGGUGGAUGCCCUGGCAGUCAGAGGCGAUGAAGGACGUGCUAAUCUGCGAUAAGCGUCGGUAAGGUGAUAUGAACCGUUAUAACCGGCGAUUUCCGAAUGGGGAAACCCAGUGUGAUUCGUCACACUAUCAUUAACUGAAUCCAUAGGUUAAUGAGGCGAACCGGGGGAACUGAAACAUCUAAGUACCCCGAGGAAAAGAAAUCAACCGAGAUUCCCCCAGUAGCGGCGAGCGAACGGGGAGCAGCCCAGAGCCUGAAUCAGUGUGUGUGUUAGUGGAAGCGUCUGGAAAGGCGUGCGAUACAGGGUGACAGCCCCGUACACAAAAAUGCACAUACUGUGAGCUCGAUGAGUAGGGCGGGACACGUGGUAUCCUGUCUGAAUAUGGGGGGACCAUCCUCCAAGGCUAAAUACUCCUGACUGACCGAUAGUGAACCAGUACCGUGAGGGAAAGGCGAAAAGAACCCCGGCGAGGGGAGUGAAAAAGAACCUGAAACCGUGUACGUACAAGCAGUGGGAGCACGCUUAGGCGUGUGACUGCGUACCUUUUGUAUAAUGGGUCAGCGACUUAUAUUCUGUAGCAAGGUUAACCGAAUAGGGGAGCCGAAGGGAAACCGAGUCUUAACUGGGCGUUAAGUUGCAGGGUAUAGACCCGAAACCCGGUGAUCUAGCCAUGGGCAGGUUGAAGGUUGGGUAACACUAACUGGAGGACCGAACCGACUAAUGUUGAAAAAUUAGCGGAUGACUUGUGGCUGGGGGUGAAAGGCCAAUCAAACCGGGAGAUAGCUGGUUCUCCCCGAAAGCUAUUUAGGUAGCGCCUCGUGAAUUCAUCUCCGGGGGUAGAGCACUGUUUCGGCAAGGGGGUCAUCCC
Molecule: ribosomal RNA, 897 nt
Filed under: Shigella flexneri
Lineage: Bacteria; Pseudomonadati; Pseudomonadota; Gammaproteobacteria; Enterobacterales; Enterobacteriaceae
Description: partial 23S ribosomal RNA
Rfam family: Bacterial large subunit ribosomal RNA
Source: RNAcentral